UGUUGAGACCCGUCAGCACAAUUAUCCCCAAUCUUGUCAUUCCUGCCCUCCCACCACUCCUCUGACUAAAAUACUUGAGCUAAAUUACCGACCAUGCACCCCACAGCACAUAUUCCCUUUAUUUAUCAUCCAGGGACCAGCUUAUUGAUCUUCCCCAUGUUAAUUGAGAGAUGAUGAGGAGUUGAGGAGUUAGACAACAGCGGCGCUCAGGAGACAGCUAUUCAGCAAUUGGAUGCAAGUAUGUCCUCAUUGGAUCUAAACAUUGAUGUCAUCAGUGCAGAUGAAUUUAGCAACAUUUAAAACUCUAUGAGACAGAGUCUGUAUCAUCGUUACAGGAAGAUGAAAUGAGGGAAGUAGACACAUACUAUGACAGUGACGAUUAAGAAUAUAUGCCUUACAUUUGUGUGCGGACUGGCGGUGCUCUAAAGACACUGAUUUGCUUGGAUGCACUUCCUGCUAACAGCAUGGAGGACUCUGUGCAUUCCCAGAGACAACUAAAGUCCUGGUUGAGGAUGAAAUAACUGGCCAUCCUGCAUCCAUCACAUACCAUGACUGUCUGAAGCAGCUACCUGUCAACAUGUGUACUGCUAAGGAGUGCCGGUAGAGUGCCGGCACCUAGACCAUUCAAGAUCAGUAUUGAGUCCAGGCGCACAGCUGCUAUAAUUGAAUGGGUCUUUAUUUGGCAUAAAUCUUCAUUACAUGUUUUAGACUGAUUUUUGUAUAUGUGUCUUACAUGUAGUAGUAAUUGUUGUUGCCGUAUUGUGCUGUCUUUCUCCACCUGUGUCUUUUUCAGAUGUGUCCUCAUGGUCACACUGUGGAAAUGGACUUCCUAGCCAACUUUAAAGUGUGGGGUGCUGGUUGUGGUCUUCUUGUUGGCCAGUAACUCUGAAAAACAACUAUGCAAAGUUGUUCAAGUUCAUGAAAAUGAGAUCCAGGACUCCUGCUGUGUGGACACUAUAAAGGACUGUUGGAAUGAGAAGAAAGCCAAAAUCAUCACUCGGCUUCAGUCCAAAGGGC
This is a long non-coding RNA of Thunnus maccoyii (southern bluefin tuna), 1017 nucleotides long. RefSeq lists it as uncharacterized. The record is from RefSeq and is a predicted model, not a curated record. Lineage: Eukaryota; Metazoa; Chordata; Actinopteri; Scombriformes; Scombridae. The transcript is spliced from 5 exons.